Molecule: ribosomal RNA, 500 nt
Filed under: Trogulus martensi
Lineage: Eukaryota; Metazoa; Arthropoda; Arachnida; Opiliones; Trogulidae
Description: SSU rRNA
Rfam family: Eukaryotic small subunit ribosomal RNA
Source: RNAcentral
UUACCCACUCCCGGCACGGGGAGGUAGUGACGAAAAAUAACAAUACGGGACUCUUUUGAGGCCCCGUAAUUGGAAUGAGUACACUCUAAAUCCUUUAACAAGGAUCAAUUGGAGGGCAAGUCUGGUGCCAGCAGCCGCGGUAAUUCCAGCUCCAAUAGCGUAUAUUAAAGUUGUUGUGGUUAAAAAGCUCGUAGUUGGAUCUCAGUUCCAGUCAAGUGGUCCGCUUUUCGGCGGUUUCUGCUUGUACUGAACAUCCUGCCGGUUGUCCCUAGGUGCUCUUUACUGAGUGUCUUGGGUGCCCGGCACGUUUACUUUGAAAAAAUUAGAGUGCUUAAAGCAGGCGAUUCGCCCGAAUAAUGGUGCAUGGAAUAAUGGAAUAGGACCUCGUUUCUAUUGUGUUGGUUUUCGGAACACGAGGUAAUGAUUAAGAGGGACAGACGGGGGCAUUCGUAUUGCGGCGCUAGAGGUGAAAUUCUUGGACCGUCGCAAGACGAACUACU